UCCUCACUCCUAUCUGUCUGUCGAGAGAAAAUUGCAUAGGUGAAUAUAUCCUCGGCUGUAGCAGGAUCAAGCCCAAAGGAUAGGGGACAUAGCGUUUCCCCCUCCUGCUCCAUCACGCAGACUUAUUUUUAGUGGGUAGAGACUUUUCUGUUUUAUAAGUACCAGCAUGAGCAUGGUCAUGGAAAAGUUACAAAGGUAAAAUAAAUAAAACAAUAUGUUCAGGCAGAGACAGACUGCAGCAUGCCUGAGGGGAGGGGCUAGACUUUGGGGUUGUGGUUGGCCAUCAAAGCAGCUGCAAGCUGAAGGACUGUUAUCUCCUCCUCUCCUCUCACCCCACCCUGGAAGGGGGUGAGAAUGGAGUAGUGGGCACUGCCGGAGGGCAGUGUCCUGAAGCAGAUGCCACUGGGCAGGGAGCAACAUGGGUCUAAAACGAGCAGAGCAGACAAUGGGCGAGACACUACGCACAGAGGGCACUUCAUGGCUGUUGAGAGCUAAUUCCCAGACUGACCAGCAGGAGGCGUCGCGGUGAUCGCUGUAUGUUUUAGAAGCAGGAGUGAAAAGUGAAAUCAAAAUUCAGGUGGAAGUUGACUGUGUCCCUUUUAAGACAGUCUCUAAGCGGCUAAUAGCUUUAAAUCCAAAAGCAAGCCCAAAAGUGUCUUAAUGCAAAUUACCUGAUAAAAGAAGAAAAGAACUACCCAAAAACUGCAGCACAAAGAAGUCAAAUCAAAGGACAAGACGGGAGACAGGUAGAUCAGAGCACUAGUAGAAAUGCUGGCCCCUACCGACGCCCAUGCUUUAGGAAUACUGCUAGGAGGAUUCCAUUUUCUUAGACUACAUCUAUAAAUAUGCUAAAAUAACUCACCCAUUGUGGAAACGGCUUUUAAAAAAAAAAAGACAAAAUGGGAAUGGGGAAAAGAGCAGGACUCUGCUUUAACUCUGCUUCAACAGAAGGCCCUCACAGCCCCAGCCCUGUGUUUCCCUAAUGAACCACAGCCUUUUGUUAAAAAACAAAUGAAUGUUUGGCAGCUAAUAACACGGCCGUGGCUGCCACACUAUUACAAAAUAUUUAAAAAGAGAACCUUAAAAUGGGGGAAAGGGG
Long non-coding RNA from Gopherus evgoodei (Goodes thornscrub tortoise), 1099 nucleotides. RefSeq lists it as uncharacterized. NCBI's taxonomy places the organism in Eukaryota, Metazoa, Chordata, Testudines, Testudinidae. The record is from RefSeq and is a predicted model, not a curated record. The transcript is spliced from 3 exons.